This 254-nucleotide ribosomal RNA is filed under the name uncultured bacterium. RNAcentral describes it as "partial 16S ribosomal RNA". It matches the Rfam family "Bacterial small subunit ribosomal RNA", at positions 524 to 776 of the family's 1533-position model. The record is from RNAcentral.
UACGGAGGAUGCGAGCGUUAUCCGGAUUUACUGGGUGUAAAGGGAGCGUAGGUGGCAUGGCAAGCCAGAAGUGAAAACCCGGGGCUUAACCCCGCGGAUUGCUUUUGGAACUGUCAGGCUGGAGUGCAGGAGGGGCAGGCGGAAUUCCUGGUGUAGCGGUGAAAUGCGUAGAUAUCAGGAGGAACACCGGUGGCGAAGGCGGCCUGCUGGACUGUAACUGACACUGAGGCUCGAAAGCGUGGGGAGCAAACAGG